RNAcentral lists this long non-coding RNA (742 nucleotides) under Rattus norvegicus (Norway rat). RNAcentral describes it as "long non-coding RNA NONRATT001527". The record is from RNAcentral. Lineage: Eukaryota; Metazoa; Chordata; Mammalia; Rodentia; Muridae.
GUAAUGACCAGAAUAAACACAAGGAAGCUAUCAACAAAACUGGGGCAGCGUCAGGCUCCACCCCAGAUGCAGGGCUGUAGCAAUGGCCAGGAAGAAAAGUGCCCCCGCUGGAGGUUGUUUUCGUGAGACUGUUCUUUGGAGCAUUGUUCUAAAAAUGGGAAAUUACAUCUUACCAUGCCAAAGGAAACAAACACCUGCAGUUAGAGGGACACCUUCUCUGAGGUGGCCUUUUUGGAGCAAGCACAGCUGUAGCUACAGCCACUUCUGGGUGGAUGCUAUGGCAGAAGUUGACAGGCGCUUUCCUUGUUUGCAAGGGAUGGGAAUGUGGGCUUAUUUUUGUAACUAGGGUGGGCUUUGGCAGCUAUGGGUGUAGGGACUCUCUACUUAUCCACCCAAUAAACGUGUGUCAAGCAUCAUCUGUUCUGUGACCGCCUUGAUGGGUUUUGCUUACCUAUUUGUAUUUUGAGAUGGUUUCGAAAUAAUGAAACCCAAGCUGGCUUCAAAUUUACAAGCCUCCUGCCUCAGCCUAGGGAGUGCUGGGAUUACAGGUAUGCACCUCUAUGCCCUGUUGGCUCAAUAGGGGUCUGUUCUGUUUCCUUCCCCGGCUUGCUUACAUUCCUGGGAGGGUUGGCCAUCAGCACACAACAUUCUUGUCACAUUUUCCUCGGUUUUCAGAGUCAGCACGUGACAGCUUGUCCGCAUGACUAAGGAGCCAGGCAGGAUUUCCACACAUCCCCCUCUC